RNAcentral lists this non-coding RNA (23 nucleotides) under Arabidopsis thaliana (thale cress). Lineage: Eukaryota; Viridiplantae; Streptophyta; Magnoliopsida; Brassicales; Brassicaceae. The record is from RNAcentral.
GAGGGAAGCAAGUGAGGUCACAA